This 72-nucleotide transfer RNA is filed under the name Phrynosoma platyrhinos (Desert horned lizard). Its description in RNAcentral is "tRNA-OTHER". Lineage: Eukaryota; Metazoa; Chordata; Lepidosauria; Squamata; Phrynosomatidae. The record is from RNAcentral.
ACCAGUGUGGCACAGUGGUUUGAGUGCUGGACUACAACUCUGGAGACCGGGGUUCGAUUCCCAGCUCGGCCA